RNAcentral lists this antisense RNA (75 nucleotides) under Streptomyces lavendulae subsp. lavendulae. RNAcentral describes it as "ASpks TB sRNA". It matches the Rfam family "ASpks TB sRNA". The record is from Rfam by way of RNAcentral. Lineage: Bacteria; Bacillati; Actinomycetota; Actinomycetes; Kitasatosporales; Streptomycetaceae.
CUUCACGGAGCCCAGCCACAGCGGGCGGUCCUCGGUGUGCUCCCGGCCGUACGUGGCCAGCAGGGCCUGCGCCUC